Molecule: ribosomal RNA, 468 nt
Filed under: uncultured bacterium
Lineage: Bacteria
Description: partial 16S ribosomal RNA
Rfam family: Bacterial small subunit ribosomal RNA
Source: RNAcentral
GACGAACGCUGGCGGCGUGCUUAACACAUGCAAGUCGAACGGAAAGGCCCUGCUUUUGUGGGGUGCUCGAGUGGCAAACGGGUGAGUAACACGUGAGUAACCUGCCCUUGACUUUGGGAUAACUUCAGAAAACUGGGGCUAAUACCGGAUAGGAGCCCCUGCUGCAUGGGGGGGGUUGGAAAGUUUCGGCGGUUGGGGAUGGACUCGCGGCUUAUCAGCUUGUUGGUGGGGUAGUGGCUUACCAAGGCUUUGACGGGUAGCCGGCCUGAGAGGGUGACCGGCCACAUUGGGACUGAGAUACGGCCCAGACUCCUACGGGAGGCAGCAGUGGGGAAUAUUGCACAAUGGGCGGAAGCCUGAUGCAGCAACGCCGCGUGCGGGAUGACGGCCUUCGGGUUGUAAACCGCUUUCGCCUGGGACGAAGCGUGAGUGACGGUAAUGGGUAAAGAAGCACCGGCUAACUACGUG